AACAGGAGAUUUGUUCA
This 17-nucleotide small RNA is filed under the name Arabidopsis thaliana (thale cress). Its description in RNAcentral is "ATSL050370". Lineage: Eukaryota; Viridiplantae; Streptophyta; Magnoliopsida; Brassicales; Brassicaceae. The record is from RNAcentral.